This 285-nucleotide ribosomal RNA is filed under the name Staphylococcus sp. Le1-1. RNAcentral describes it as "partial 16S ribosomal RNA". It matches the Rfam family "Bacterial small subunit ribosomal RNA", at positions 247 to 524 of the family's 1533-position model. The record is from RNAcentral. Lineage: Bacteria; Bacillati; Bacillota; Bacilli; Caryophanales; Staphylococcaceae.
AGUUGGUAAGGUAACGGCUUACCAAGGCAACGAUACGUAGCCGACCUGAGAGGGUGAUCGGCCACACUGGAACUGAGACACGGUCCAGACUCMUACGGGAGGCAGCAGUAGGGAAUCUUCCGCAAUGGGCGAAAGCYUGACGGAGCAACSCCGCGUGAGUGAUGAAGGUCUUCGGAUCGUAAAACUCUGUUAUCAGGGAAGAACAAAUGUGUAAGUAACUGUGCACAUCUUGACGGUACCUGAUCAGAAAGCCACGGCUAACUACGUGCCAGCAGCCSGGGUAAU